This is a long non-coding RNA of Mus musculus (house mouse), 843 nucleotides long. RefSeq annotates it as predicted gene, 34483. NCBI's taxonomy places the organism in Eukaryota, Metazoa, Chordata, Mammalia, Rodentia, Muridae. The record is from RefSeq and is a predicted model, not a curated record. The transcript is spliced from 6 exons.
AACUCACUUUCUGUCUGCAGGCAGUCGGGACUCAGCCAGCUGGGACUCUUAGCAGAUCUUAGCCGCUCAGGUGGAAGCAAGCUCUCCCCCUCCACCCAGCAGAGGCAAUUCACAGAGAGUCCGGGGAACUGCUCCUUCUAAAGGGUGCAAUCCUCCCCAAAUCUCUCUUACCUUGAGCCUGCUGAGUCCUCCUUGAGAUCUGAUGCUCUCAGAUGGAACCAGGAGCUCCGCCAGAGCUGUUGCAAUGGAAGAGGACUUUCAGAGUAUUGAAGAGAAGAAUAGAUUUGGAUGAUCGAUGAGCAUAUAUUGGUAUCUGCCAGUAUCCUUUGCUUCCAGGAUCUGUUCUUGGCAAGAAUGGCAUUGACAUAUGGCUACAGAUGUGAAUUCUCAGGUACUGCUCCAACACCAUGUCUGCCUGCCUGCCUGCCUGCUGCUAUGCUCCCCACCACGAUGAUGAUGGACUUUUAUCACUCGGAACUUAUCCAUUGCUGCUCUGAAACUCUGCACUUGCCGAAGAAGACAUCUGAAAAGCUAUAGGACACUUGGAGGCCUUGGCAGAUGACCUGGGCAGGGUUCCUACAACCUCUAUGGCAGCUCACAACCACAGCCUGCAGUUCAUGAAGACGCGCCCUCUGGGCUGGCAGCCCGACAGUACCUCAUAGCACUUAGUAAGUUUCCCAUGAGCUGAUGGAUCUGCUGCCUUUUUUACCCUUCCUGCUGCAGCUACUGUAGAAGACUCAUGUGCCUCGUUCAUCGUCUCAUGUGAAACACAAAGCACCAGACCUGAGAUCUGAGAGUCAUUUGAUGAUUUCUUCCCACCUCCCUUCCCAUCCAGAUCCACAC